AGAAGGCAGUGUCUGGGGCGUCUCCACCAUGGCCUGGGCUCUGCUCCUCAUCACCAUCCUCACUCAGGGCUCAGGGUCCUGGGCCUAGUCUGGCCUGACUCAGCCUGCCUCAGUGUCUGGGAAUCCGGGACAGACGGUCACCAUCUCCUGUACUGGCACCAGCAGUGACAUCGGGGGUUAUAACUAUGUUGGCUGGUACCAACAGCUCCCGGGCUCAGCCCCCAAAACUCUGAUUUAUAAUGUCAAUAACCGGCCCUCAGGGAUCCCUGCUCGGUUCUCUGGCUCCAAGUCCGGGAACACAGCCACCCUGACCAUCUCUGAGCUCCAGGCAGAGGACGAGGCCGACUAUUACUGCAGCUCAGCUAGAAGUGGUCACACUGUGCACAGUGGUUCAAGUUCACAGGGAAGUGAGGCCAAACCCCUCUGAGAUCAUUCAGCCCUU
Capra hircus (goat) is the source of this 442-nucleotide non-coding RNA. NCBI's taxonomy places the organism in Eukaryota, Metazoa, Chordata, Mammalia, Artiodactyla, Bovidae. The record is from the annotation of a RefSeq genome assembly.